RNAcentral lists this ribosomal RNA (560 nucleotides) under cyanobacterium PM1. Its description in RNAcentral is "bacterial SSU rRNA". It matches the Rfam family "Bacterial small subunit ribosomal RNA", at positions 157 to 749 of the family's 1533-position model. Lineage: Bacteria; Bacillati; Cyanobacteriota. The record is from RNAcentral.
CGGUGGCUAAUACCGGAUGUGCCGGAAGGUGAAAGGCUUGCUGCCUGAAGAUGAGCUCGCGUCCGAUUAGCUAGUAGGUGGGGUAAGAGCCUACCUAGGCGACGAUCGGUAGCUGGUCUGAGAGGAUGACCAGCCACACUGGGACUGAAACACGGCCCAGACUCCUACGGGAGGCAGCAGUGGGGAAUUUUCCGCAAUGGGCGAAAGCCUGACGGAGCAAUACCGCGUGAGGGAGGAAGGCUCUUGGGUUGUAAACCUCUUUUCUCAGGGAAGAACACAAUGACGGUACCUGAGGAAUCACCAUCGGCUAACUCCGUGCCAGCAGCCGCGGUAAUACGGAGGAUGCAAGCGUUAUCCGGAAUGAUUGGGCGUAAAGCGUCCGCAGGUGGCUGUGUAAGUCUGCUGUCAAAGAGCAAAGCUCAACUUUGUAAAGGCAGUGGAAACUACACGGCUAGAGUGCGUUCGGGGCAGAGGGAAUUCCUGGUGUAGCGGUGAAAUGCGUAGAGAUCAGGAAGAACACCGGUGGCGAAGGCGCUCUGCUAGGCCGCAACUGACACUGA